Molecule: ribosomal RNA, 261 nt
Filed under: uncultured archaeon
Lineage: Archaea
Description: partial 16S ribosomal RNA
Rfam family: Archaeal small subunit ribosomal RNA
Source: RNAcentral
AGGGUGUAAACGCUGCAGACUUGGUGUUGGAAGUCCUUUGGGGGCAUUUAGUGCCGGAGAGAAGUUGUUAAGUCUGCUACUUGGGGAGUACGUCCGCAAGGAUGAAACUUAAAGGAAUUGGCGGGGGAGCACCGCAACGGGAGGAGCGUGCGGUUUAAUUGGAUUCAACACCGUAAACUCACCAGGGAAGACUGUUACAUGAAAGCCGAGAUGAAGACUCUGCUAGAUUUUCAGAGAGGAGGUGCCAUGGCGUCAGUGACU